Long non-coding RNA from Lycium barbarum (goji berry), 4554 nucleotides. RefSeq lists it as uncharacterized. The record is from RefSeq and is a predicted model, not a curated record. Lineage: Eukaryota; Viridiplantae; Streptophyta; Magnoliopsida; Solanales; Solanaceae. The transcript has 2 exons.
UUACUUAUCUGAUCUUGAGGCUUUGCUUUUGCUCUGUUUUGAUGCUAAUAGAAAAUAUGCUUACGCCCUUAGAGGUCAUUUGGUUGCUCGCUAGGGUUAUGCAAGGUAUUAAUAAUGCAGCGAUUAGUUAUUUAUUAUUAGUUAUUCAUGUGCUAGCUAUUCCUAUUUCUACCCUGCAUAAAAUAAUACAUAGAUUCCCUCAUAACUUAUAAAUGUAUUAGUUAUGCGGAGAAGAAAAACAUGAACCAAACAUUAUAUUAGCAAUGCCAUGUUUUAUGUGGAAAGGAGAUAAAACCAACCAAACAUUGUAUAACUUAUGCUAGAUUCUAUGUGGAGAUUAUUUCUCCCCAUUUUUGUAACCAAACAAUGUAUAAAGUUAUGAUAAUUUUAAUACAUAGAUAACUCCUCCAUAACCAACUACGAAACAACCCCUUAGUUUCCUAAGACAUUUCCAUUGAUAUUGCUGUUUUGUCUAAUCUUGAUUCGUGGUUAUCAUUGAGAAUCUUGUUUAUUGGUAAAAAUGUUAACUGAGUAGCUUGCAUAUGAGAGUGUGUAAUGCGGAAAACCCCCCAUUAGAAUAUGGACACUUCUCUUAUUGUUUAAUGGGUGGCCAAUAUACAAAUUUGAGUUCAUCUGUACAGUUCUCAUAUAAGGAAUUCUAAAGGACCUAUCAAGUAUCAAAUAACCAUUUGCACCCAAGGCCCAAGGGUGGGUGUGGCCUAGUGGUCAAUGAAGUGGUUGAGAACCAUGAGGUCUCAUGUUUGAAUUCCAACAGAGACAAAACAUUAGGUGAUUUCUUCCCAUUUGUCCUAGCCUUGGGGAUAGAGUUAGCUGGUACCUGUUGCUAGUGGGAGGUAUCCGUGGAAUUAGUCGAGGUGUAUGCAACUUGGCUUGGACACCACGGUUAUCAAAAAGGAAAAAAGUAUCACGGCUUGGGAUUGGUGACUCUGAUAAUUGUUUUCCUAUAAGCUAUCUGAGUUGCAAUGUCGUAUUCAGAAUUUGUUACUCCUCUAUUCCGUUUACACCAACCUUGCAGUAAUCGUUAUUAUUUGUAUUUCAUUUACACCAACCUUGAAGGAAAUUGCUAUUAUUUGAAUUCCAGUUAAUGUCUAUGCCCGUGAUUUAAUAUGAAGAAGCCUAUUCCUUUCUCAGGGCUGGGUAUUAAAUUAAAUUGUCGUACAUGUUCCAUGACCAGAAUGAUAAGUUUAUUAGGUUGUGUGGACUUCUCUCUUUCUCUCUCUACCUGCAUAAAUGAGUGAAACAUAGGUCUUUUAUGCUAUUCAACUAACAUACAUAUUGGAUAAGCUCACUAACAUAGAAAUAAGAUUGAAGCUCUUUUUACCAUACUUAUAUCUCUUUCUGAUUAGUAAAAGGCCACAUAGAAUAAUAGAGGAACACUAAGAGGGUUCAAAGUUAUUAAUGUAAAGCAAAAUCAGAGAAAAAGUGGUUGUUGUGAAUCUGCAGAACUUUUAAAACUGUAAGAUGUUGACUGAAUCUUAGAAUUUGUAGUUUUCACAUCAACUGAACUCCUAUCAACUCCUGAAAUGAAUUUAUUUUUUGAAACAAAUUAGUUAUAUUUGACUUCUUUCUCUCGUUGUUGUGUGUGAAAUAACUUUUUGGAAAAUCACUGUCAUGUGCUUGUGUCCAUGUGUGUGGCACCUUCGCAUCUAUACAUGUGGAGUUUGGGGGAGAUGAGGAACCAAGUCAAAGAGUUAACAAAAGCUUUUUCUGGCAGCCAGGAAAGUAUUCACGGUUAUUUUCUAGAGAAGUACUUUUCCUUUGCCUAGUUACAUCUUCUUGUUUAUGAGUCUGCCCUUCUACUUUCCUUACUAAAUGUCAUUAAAACCCCAGACUUCAAAAUUUAGAAGGGAAUUUAGCAGCUAUCCGUGUCAUCCAAACCUGAUUGUGUAACUCUUUGCUGCAGAUACUUUUUUCUAAUUAUGCAGGACCUUUGAUAGGAUACUUCUCUUGUGAAUGGAUGUUAUAUAUCUCUUUCUCUUUUCUCAACUAUUAGCACUCUAUGUGUUGGGAAACAUUUAAAAGAAGGUUACACUUUCGGCUAAGUUGCGCAGACUCUUCAUGUUUUAUGCCGAACCUGUCUCGACACGAGACCGGGACGGGUGCGGGAUACAUUUCGGAUUCGAUCAACCAACUUCAGAUACUAUGAUUGGAGUCCAUGGACAAAUUUGGGGGAAAAUUGAGAUUUAAAUUUCUCAAAAUAAAAGAUAAAAGAGAUUUAAGACAUGGGAAACGGAACGCCCAUCUUGGAGAAUGAAAGAUUGAAUUCUACAAUAUACAUGUCAUAUGUACAGAGCUUGUUACAGAUGUAACUAAUACUAAUAUGAGGACCAGUGGGAGACUUGGUGAAAAUAUCUACAAGCUGAUCAUUUGACUUCACAAAUUUUGUAACAAUCUCUCUAGCAAGUAUCUUUUCUUUGAUAAAGUGACGGUCAAUCUAAAUGUGCUUAGUCCUCUCAUGGAAUAUAGAUUUGACGCAAUAUGAAGGGCCGCUUGAUUAACACACAGGUUCAAUCUGAUUGAUUUCUCCAAAUUUUAAUUCUCUGUGCAAUUGUUUGAUCCAAACUUGCUUACAAGUUGCUACAGCCAUUGCUCGAUAUUAUGCUUCUGCACUAGAUUGAGUAACCACAUUCUGUUUCUUUUCUCUUCCGGGACACCAAAUUAUCUCCUACUAAAACACAAUAUCCAGAUGUAGAACGUUUAUCCGAGAUUUCGCCCAAUCAACGUCUCUAUAUCCAACGAUCUGGUGGAGCGGCUUGCUGGGGUUUGGUUGCCAGAGGGUGGGGGACCCUGUGGUAGUGUUGGUCUUCGCACUAUACUGACGGAAAGUGGACCGAUGCAAAUCAGAUCUCAGGAGUCACUGGAAAGAUGCACAGCGACUUACUUUUCUCUCCCAAAUGUUUCUCACUGCUACUUUGGUACCAUGUGAGAAGUAACGACACAGGAAAAAGAAUUAUUGAGAUUCGUGUCCACUUUAUUACACUGAACCCUAUUUAUAGUUAUAUUCGACACAUACGUAAUAGUCCUCCUCCAUGUAGGACACUAUAUACGUUAAUAUUCCAAUAGUUAUGACAUGAGCUUUGGCUUGAUGUGGAUGUGAAAUUCCAUUGAGUGCGUGAUCUGUAUAGUGGAGCUCAUUUCUGGCAUAACUAUACAGGAUAGGAGGGGAAGCCUCUUGAGAAUCAUUUAUUGCUUUUGAUGCCAGUGUUGUGGACAUUGUAAAACUGAUUGUUUGGAUCUAUGAAUUUGUGUCUUUGGUUUUGUGACUUUCUCGGGGUAGUACAGUUGAGGCACAAAGGCAGCCUUUUGUGUGCAUUUGCAUGUAAUAUAAAUAUUGAAGAAUAAUCAUUGUGUUAAACCUAAACCACCAUUCUCAAAAAAAAAUAUAGAAUAAUCAUUUGACUGCCUAUAAAAUUCCCGCCAAAAUGCAAACAAACUGGCUAAUUUCUUUGAAGUUGGUUACAUCCCUAUAUUUUUUGUGUUCUCUGUUUGCUAAGAUUGCUGUUGGCAAUAUUAUCCUUGAUGUCUACAAUCUCUGAAUUUGUUAUGGUAAUCACUAGUCAAAGUUUUCUCUGAUCUGAACCACUUGUUUUUCCAUGGCCGCAUUCUCUUUUUCAAUUUGCAACUUCAUUGUGGCUUGUUUUGCCUUAUGUGACCUUGGGGUAACCAUCAUCUUGACCUUAACCUUUGUUUUCUCCCCUAACUCAUCUAAAGCUGAACGUGGACCCCUGUCCAAUACCCUAUUUUCUGCAACUUUCCUUCUAUGUUUAUUCAAUGCACAAGAAUAUUGUACUCCUUCCCUGAGCCCUUUCGACCAGGAGCUCCCUCCUGUUUUAUUCCCCUUCCACCACCUGAGUGGCUUAACCCAUUUCCCGAAUUCUCUAGGAUAUUUAAUCACCAAAUAUUUCUUCCUUUGGUAAGAGAAUAUCCCUCACAAAUGCACGACCCUUUCUCUAUCUUUUUCUAUUUGUACGUAUGAUUCUAUCUGCAGCCAUAACAUCCAUUGCCUAAGCACUCUGGUGAUUCAAAUGCAUCUUCUUGCUAGAUUGUUUCCUUCUAUUUUCAUAUGGAAUUUUGUUACAGCUUUGACUUUCAUAAUCAAAACAGCAGCAUACUGACAUAAUCAGAAGUUUUACGUUUGGCGCUAUGAACAGUGAGUAAUUUCUGAGAUCAAGGAAACGUGAAGAACUUCUAGGACUUUUAUAUACCCUUUAUAAACAUCAGGAAAGCGAUUAAAAUUUAUCCAAAAAGAAGAGAGGAAAAGGAAGAGAGAAUAUCUAGAAUUAUCUGAAACCAAUGUGACAUAAAGUACUGUUAAUGAUGAAACCCUUCUGGAACAAACUCCAACAUCCGGUACGUCUCUUAGAUCCAAUUGGAAACUCACUGCAGUAUUCUGGGGUUUUAGGAGUAGUGUAGGGAUUCUUAAAAGCUACUGAGGUAUCCUACGAUUGUAAAUUUUUAAAAUAAGUUAAAAAUGGGCACAGUUAAGAAAUCGUAAGACAAACUGAAUCAAGACAAUUAGAAAUGUCAGAUCAA